This 68-nucleotide transfer RNA is filed under the name Candidatus Bathyarchaeota archaeon. RNAcentral's name for it is "tRNA-Gln". It matches the Rfam family "tRNA". Rfam says of the family: Transfer RNA (tRNA) molecules are approximately 80 nucleotides in length. Their secondary structure includes four short double-helical elements and three loops (D, anti-codon, and T loops). The record is from RNAcentral. Lineage: Archaea; Thermoproteati; Candidatus Bathyarchaeota.
CCCGGUGGUGUAGUGGCCAAGCAUAGUGGCCUUUGGAGCCAUUGACGAGAGUUCGAAUCUCUCCCGGG